This 21-nucleotide microRNA is filed under the name Corchorus olitorius. Its description in RNAcentral is "ssp-miR11". RNAcentral also lists the same sequence under 1 other name. The record is from RNAcentral. Lineage: Eukaryota; Viridiplantae; Streptophyta; Magnoliopsida; Malvales; Malvaceae.
UAGUACUCCCUCCGUCCCAUA